This 138-nucleotide ribosomal RNA is filed under the name uncultured eukaryote. RNAcentral's name for it is "partial 18S ribosomal RNA". It matches the Rfam family "Eukaryotic small subunit ribosomal RNA", at positions 1299 to 1458 of the family's 1831-position model. The record is from RNAcentral.
UGGUGGAGUGAUUUGUCUGGUUAAUUCCGAUAACGAACGAGACCUUAACCUGCUAAAUAGUCACGCGAAUCUCGAUUCGUGGCCGACUUCUUAGAGGGACUAUCUGGGUUUACCAGAUGGAAGUUUGAGGCAAUAACA